AUUUACAAGGCGUGAGUCUGCUGGUUGGCAGAGCGUCCCCUGAGGGAAAUCCACUGGGUGGUGGCUGAGCCACCUUGGUUCUCAGUAGGUAAUGCUCUUCAUCCUCCAUUGUCAAGACCUCUAAUCCUCUGUAACACUUUUACACAUUCAUUUCUUUCUCUCUUUUUUAUGCUCAGAACUUAAUCAGUCUUAACCUGUGAUUCAAAACAUGCAGGCCUUGCUUGUCAAUGCAUGGUUAUUUACUUAAAACUAAACUAUGGGCUUUGGAAAUACCUCCCCUUCCCCACACAACAAUAUGAAAGACAGAUGCUCAGUCGUUUCCUGGUCCCCUCUCUUCACAUAUUUACUGGACAUAUUUUCUUCUAAUAAAUGGUGCUAAUGUAUGUUGCUUAUUUUUUAUCGGAUCAUGCAGAUUUGUUGGUCAGUAUCAUUUUUUGCUUUUCCUUAGGAAAUGAUUUCUACCUUCAGUGUUCCACUUAUCAUCUUCUACCUUCUGACAGAACAUUCUAGAUCUUUCAGCCAUGUAACCUGAAGUCUUC
This 539-nucleotide long non-coding RNA is filed under the name Marmota monax (woodchuck). Lineage: Eukaryota; Metazoa; Chordata; Mammalia; Rodentia; Sciuridae. The record is from RNAcentral.